Poecilia latipinna (sailfin molly) is the source of this 565-nucleotide long non-coding RNA. RefSeq lists it as uncharacterized. The record is from RefSeq and is a predicted model, not a curated record. The transcript is spliced from 4 exons. Lineage: Eukaryota; Metazoa; Chordata; Actinopteri; Cyprinodontiformes; Poeciliidae.
GACCGGUGUUGGCUUUGCCUCCAGCUGUUUCUUUACAGACACGCUGAACGCCAGCAGGAGCCGGGGGCCAAGAUCAGCCCUUCGAGUCUGGCCACACGCAGGCCACUUAAGCGCACACGUACGCAGACGCAGACGGCCACAGUUACUGCGAGCUCACGCAGAUAAAAACGGGGACGCUCCGGGCAACGGGAGCGACCAAGUUCACCAAAGCAGUGAGAGGCCAGGAAAGUGUCAUGUCAGCACUAAUGUUUCAGCGUUCCUGCAGAAAGGGAACGGUCAGGAAAGGUUGCUGGCCGUUUGACUAUCUACAAGCUUGGACAAAAUGUGGAACGAUUCAUAAACUUUGGUAAAGAAUACCCACAAAUCUGGAGGACAUCCACCCUUGGCUGGAGAACAAAACAAAAGCCACCUCAGAAGUCAAUCACUGACACUCUUCAGCAGAAACCAACAGUGAAAAUGGCAGUCGAUGCAAGAAGGCACUUAAGGAAAUGUCAGAAAAUACUAAAACAAAGUCGAGCAGACAGCUUAAAGGGUUUGCAGUUUGUCAUCUGGCGGCCAUAAGUGG